CCUUUCACUGGGGGACAACCGAGGGAAACUUCGGCUAAUACCGCAUGAUGUGCAUCAGCUCAAGUUGGUGUACCAAAGAUAGCUUCGGCUUUCGGUGAGAGAUGAGCCCGCGGCAGAUUAGCUUGUUGGUGGGGUAAUGGCCUACCAAGGCGACGAUCUGUAGCUGGUCUGAGAGGACGAUCAGCCACACUGGAACUGAGACACGGUCCAG
Molecule: ribosomal RNA, 211 nt
Filed under: uncultured bacterium
Lineage: Bacteria
Description: partial 16S ribosomal RNA
Rfam family: Bacterial small subunit ribosomal RNA
Source: RNAcentral